UACGAAGGGGGCUAGCGUUGCUCGGAAUCACUGGGCGUAAAGGGUGCGUAGGCGGGUCUUAAGUCAGGGGUGAAAUCCUGGAGCUCAACUCCAGAACUGCCUUUGAUACUGAAGAUCUUGAGUUCGGGAGAGGUGAGUGGAACUGCGAGUGUAGAGGUGAAAUUCGUAGAUAUUCGCAAGAACACCAGUGGCGAAGGCGGCUCACUGGCCCGAUACUGACGCUGAGGCACGAAAGCGUGGGGAGCAAACAGGG
Molecule: ribosomal RNA, 253 nt
Filed under: uncultured bacterium
Lineage: Bacteria
Description: partial 16S ribosomal RNA
Rfam family: Bacterial small subunit ribosomal RNA
Source: RNAcentral